CGCGACCCCAGGUCAGGCGGGAUCACCCGCUGAGUUUAAGCAUAUCAAUAAGCGGAGGAAAAGAAACUUACAAGGAUUUCUCUAGUGAUGGCGAGCGAAUCAGGAAUAGUCCAACAUGAGAAUCGGGUGGCCACGCUGUUCGAAUUGUAGUCUGGAAAAGCAUCCUCAGCGGCGGCUCGGGGUCGAGUCCCCUGGAAUAGGGUGCCAUAGAGGCUGAGAGCCUCAUUGCUCCCAGACCCUAUCACACCAUGAGGCACUAUCGGCAAGUUAGGUUGUUUGGGAAUGCAGCCCCAAUCGGCGGUAAAUUCUAUCCAAGGCUAAAUACGGGCAAGAGACCGAUAACAAACAAGUACCACGAGGGAAAGAUGAAAAGGACUUUGAAAAGAGAGUCAAAGAGUGCUUGAAAUUUUUGGGAGGGAAGCGGAUGGGGUCCGACGAUACGUCCAGAUCAGAUGUGGAACGGCGAGAGUCUGUUCGUCGAUCGACUCGGGGGCGAACCAGCACGGAUCGACGUGGCGCUCAAAGCUCGGGCAGUCGAUAUGCUCAUUGUACGGCGUCACACCGAUAUGGACCAAGGAGUCUGACAUGUGUACGAGUCAAUGGGUGAUUAAACUCGUAAGGCACAAGGAAGCUGACCAGUGUGAUCCCCCCGAGUGGUGCACCACUAACCGACCUUGAUCUUCUGAGAAGGGUUCGAGUGAGCGUACCUGUCAGGAUCCAAAAGAUGGUGAACUAUGCGUGAGCGUGGUAAAGCCAGAGGAAACUCUGGUGGAGGCCCGCAGUGAUACUGGGAUGCAAAUUGUUCGUCUGACUUGGGUAUAGGGGCAAAUGACUAAUCGAACCGUCUAGUAGCUGGUUCCCUCCGAAGUUUCCCUUAGGAAUGCUGGAGCUCUAAUGUGAGUUCUAUCGGGUAAAGCCAAUGAUUAGAGGCAUCGGGGGCGCAAUGCCCACGACCUAUUCUCAAACUUUAAAUAGGUAGGACGGUGCGGUUGCUCCGUUGAGCCGCGUCAGAGAAUCGUGAGCUCCACAUGGGCUAUUUUUGGUAAACAGAACUAGCGAUGCAGGAUGAACCAGAAGCCAGGCUACAGUGCCCAACUGCGCACUAACUUAGAUUCCACAAAAGGUGUUGGUCGAUUAAGACAGCAGGACGGUGGUCAUGGAAGUCAAAAUCCACUAAGGAGUGUGUAACAACUCACCUGCCGAAUCAACUAGCCCCGAAAAUGGAUGGCGCUGAAGCGCGCGACCUAUACCUGCCAUCGGGGCAAGGGCCAGGCCCCGUUGAGUAGGAGGCCACGACGGUCGCUGCAAAACCCUGGGCGCGAGCCAAGACGGAGCGGCCGUCGGUGCAGAUCUUGGUGGUAGUAGCAAAUAUUCAAGUGAGAACUUUGAAGGUCGAAGAGGGGAAAGGUUCCACGUGAACGGCACUUGCACAUGGCUUAGUCGAUCCUAAAGGUAGGGGGAAGCCCGACAGACAGCACAUUCAGCGCGUGCUAUGAAAGAGAAUUAGGUUAAAAUUCCCAAAUCGGGAUGCGGCAGUUGACGACAACAUUAGAGAGUCCAAAGAUGUCGGCGGGGGCCUCGAGAAGAGUUAUCUUUUCUAUUUAACAGCCCGUCCACCCUGGAAAUGGCUCAGCCGGAGGUAGGGUCCAGCGGCUGGAAGAACACCGCACGUCACAUGGUGUCAGGCGCGCCCCUCGGCGGCCCUUGAAAAUUCAGAAGACCGAGUACCAUCCACGCCCGAUCGUACUCAUAAUCGCAUCAGGUCUCUAAGGUGAACAGCCUCUGGUCGAUGGAAUAAUGUAGGCAAGGGAAGUCGGCAAAAUGAAUCUGUAACCUCGGGAAAAUGAUUGGCUCUGAGGGCUGGGCACGGGGGUCCUAGCCCCGAACCCCUCGACUGUCGACAAACUACUCGAGCUGCUCGCACGGCGAGAUCGGGUCGUUGCGUGCCGAUCGGGGGAUGGACUGAGAACGGCUCCCUCGGGGCCUUCCCCAGGCAUCGAAUAGUCGAUUCAGAACUGGUAUGGACAAGGGGAAUCUGACUGUUUAAUUAAAUCAAAGCAUUGCAAUAGUCCCUGCGGAUGCUCACGCAAUGUGAUUUCUGCCUAGUGCUCUAAAUGUCAAAGUGAAGAAAUUCAACCAAGCGCGGAUAAACGGCGGGAGUAACUAUAACUCUGAAUAUAAAUGUUAAUAUUCAUAAAAAGGCCGAGGUCAAAAAUAUGUGUGUCGUUUAAAAUGGAUUAGUGGAGAAGAAUGAUGAUGGCAUAUUACGUAGAGUUUCACAAUGGUUAUGUUGAUACCAUGUGUGUCGUUUAAAACGAGAACUAUAUGGCCUUCACGAGGCGCCACUUGCUUGGUACCAAAUUGUGUCAAAUUUACUUAACAUAAAUAAAAUUUGUCUAAUAAAAAUAAAAUAUAUUUAUGUAUGAAAAAAGGAAUCACAUUUCUCCACCAAUAAUCUUAUACAUCUCAUAAACGUGACAUUUUACCUUUUCAUUUGAAUUCACCAAAAUCUAUUGCAAAUCAAUCAAAUUUUUUUAUGAUUCCACAUCUAUAUGACGCACAAGAAGGAUGUGAUGAGGCCUUCAAACCCAAAUAAUGGUAUGAUCAGAUGAAUUUUUUAUUUAUUUUUUAUUUUUUUGUUCAUGGUAUAUAUGAUAUAUACAAAUUGAUCUUUGAUAUUGUAAAUGGAGUUGUUUUAUGUUGGUAUUAGUAUAGAUAAAGUAGAAGAAGUGUUAACAUGUUUCUUCAACUCUGCUUCUAUUAGUGCACUACAAAAAAACCUUGAAUAGAGACGGUUUUAGAGACGACAUUUAAUGAUUUGAGACGAUUUUUUACACGGUUUUAUGGCCGUCUACAAUUUGUACAUACCUAUAAUA
This 2876-nucleotide ribosomal RNA is filed under the name Pogostemon cablin (patchouli). Its description in RNAcentral is "eukaryotic LSU rRNA". It matches the Rfam family "Eukaryotic large subunit ribosomal RNA". The record is from RNAcentral. Lineage: Eukaryota; Viridiplantae; Streptophyta; Magnoliopsida; Lamiales; Lamiaceae.